UUUGAGGUGAAUUGAUUAUGUUUGGACACUCGUUUAAAAGUGAUUCUUAUGAGUUUAUAUUGUUUGGAUAA
This 71-nucleotide microRNA precursor is filed under the name Medicago truncatula (barrel medic). RNAcentral's name for it is "MIR5272 microRNA precursor family". It matches the Rfam family "MIR5272 microRNA precursor family". The record is from Rfam by way of RNAcentral. Lineage: Eukaryota; Viridiplantae; Streptophyta; Magnoliopsida; Fabales; Fabaceae.